AUGAAGCCAAAUAAAGCACCAGGACCUGAUAAUAUCCCCAUUGAAUUUUUUCAACAUUGCCGGGAAAUAGUAAAAAGUGAGGUGAUGCUCCUGUUUGAGUGGUUUCAUGACAACAAACUAGAUGUGCAGCGCUUGAAUUAUGGGAUCAUUACUUUACUACCUAAAGUGGCUGGUGCUAAUAAAAUUCAGCAGUUCCGCCCCAUUUGCUUGCUGAGAUGCAUUUAUAAACUAAUCACUAAGGUGCUUACUAUUAGACUAGAGCCUUAUGUUGAUGUCCUCUUUAGUAGACACCAGAAUGCUUUUAUUAAGAAAAGAGAUAUAAUGGAUGAAUCAUGUCUUUACAUGAGAUUCUCCAUCAUACUUAUAGUAAGAAAAAAUCUGGGAUCGUGUUGA
RNAcentral lists this ribosomal RNA (393 nucleotides) under Triticum aestivum (bread wheat). Its description in RNAcentral is "partial small subunit ribosomal RNA". The record is from RNAcentral. Lineage: Eukaryota; Viridiplantae; Streptophyta; Magnoliopsida; Poales; Poaceae.